RNAcentral lists this ribosomal RNA (440 nucleotides) under uncultured bacterium. RNAcentral describes it as "partial 16S ribosomal RNA". It matches the Rfam family "Bacterial small subunit ribosomal RNA", at positions 338 to 795 of the family's 1533-position model. The record is from RNAcentral.
CCUACGGGUGGCAGCAGUGGGGAAUCUUGCACAAUGGGGGGAACCUUGAUGCAGCACCGCCGCGUGGGUGAAGAAGUACUCCGGUAUGUCACGCCCUGUCAGCAGGGAAGAAAAUGACGGUACCUGACCAAGAAGCCCCGGCUAACUACGUGCCAGCAGCCGAGGUAAUACGUAGGGGGCAAGCGUUCUCCGGCUUUACUGGGUGUAAAGGGAGCGUAGACGGCAAGGCAAGUCUGGAGUGAAAGCCCGGGGCCCAACCACGGGACUGCUUUGGAAACUGUGUUGCUGGAGUGCAGGAGGGGUAAGCGGAAUUCCUAGGGUAGCGGUGAAAUGCGUAGAUAUUAGGAGGAACACCGGUGGCGAAGGCGGCUUACUGGACUGUAACUGACGUUGAGGCUCGAAGGCGUGGGGAGCAAACAGGAUUAGAUACCCUUGUAGUC